CCUCUCGUUGCUUAGCGGUUGUGGAGUAUUGGUGUGUAAAGUCAAAGAUCCCGGGUUCGAUUCCCGACGAGGAUA
This 75-nucleotide transfer RNA is filed under the name Agrilus planipennis (emerald ash borer). It matches the Rfam family "tRNA". From Rfam's summary of the family: Transfer RNA (tRNA) molecules are approximately 80 nucleotides in length. Their secondary structure includes four short double-helical elements and three loops (D, anti-codon, and T loops). The record is from Rfam by way of RNAcentral. Lineage: Eukaryota; Metazoa; Arthropoda; Insecta; Coleoptera; Buprestidae.